This 857-nucleotide long non-coding RNA is filed under the name Mytilus galloprovincialis (Mediterranean mussel). Lineage: Eukaryota; Metazoa; Mollusca; Bivalvia; Mytilida; Mytilidae. The record is from RNAcentral.
GGAAAAUCUGGAUGCUUCAUACUUUGUAUAUAGAUGCUUCAUGUUACGAAGUUUCCGUCUGUCACAUGUCCAUUGUCCUUGGCCUCAUUUUCAUGGUUCAGUGACUACUUGAACAAAAAGUUAAUAUUUUUUGUAAUGUUAAUUUCUCUCUUAUUAUGAGUAAUAGGAUAAUAUAAAGAAGAUGUGGUAUGAUUGCCAAUGAGACAACUUUCCGCAAGAGACCAAAAUGACACAGAAAUUAACAAUUAUAGGUAACCGUACGGCCUUCAACAAUGAGCAAAGCCCAUACCGCAUAGUCAGCUAUAAAAGGCCCCGAAAUGACAAUGUAAAACAAUUCAAACGAGAAAACUAACGGCUCUAUUUAUAUAAAAAAAAAAUGAACGAAAAACAAACAUGUAACACAUAAACAAACGACAACCGCUGGAUUACAGGCUCCUGACUUGGGACAGGCACAUACAUACAUAGUGUGGCGGGGUUAAUCAUGUUAGCGGGAUCCCAACCAUCCCCGUAACCUGGGACAUUGGUAUAACAGUACAACAUAAGAACGAACUAUAAAAAUCAGUUGAAUAAGGCUUAAAUCAUCAGAUGGACAAAAAUACAAGUGGAUAUGGCCGGUAACUUGUACAUCCCAACAGCAAAACGACACCGGGAACAGAUCUAAGAGCACUUGAAGUUAAUUGAAAGCUAGUUCUUAGCCAUUAACAACCAAUUAAAAAAAAUCAUGCAUCUUAGACUAAAUUAUCAAUCUGUACACAUCCAACAUCCAAUGGAUUAGUGUAAAGACGCCAUAAACAGUCAGAGAAAAAACAUGAACUUGUGCAAUGCCAAGAUAUAGGUAUCGACAGAUUGUAGAUCCA